Molecule: ribosomal RNA, 238 nt
Filed under: uncultured bacterium
Lineage: Bacteria
Description: partial 16S ribosomal RNA
Rfam family: Bacterial small subunit ribosomal RNA
Source: RNAcentral
CGGGUGAGUAAUACAUAAGUAACCUGCCCUAGACAGGGGGAUAACUAUUGGAAACGAUAGCUAAGACCGCAUAGGUACGGACACUGCAUGGUGACCGUAUUAAAAGUGCCUCAAAGCACUGGUAGAGGAUGGACUUAUGGCGCAUUAGCUGGUUGGCGGGGUAACGGCCCGCCAAGGCGACGAUGCGUAGCCGACCUGAGAGGGUGACCGGCCACAUUGGGACUGAGACACGGCCCAA